CUACGGGGCGCUCCAGUGGGGAAUAUUGGACAAUGGGCGAAAGCCUGAUCCAGCAAUACCACGUGGAUGAUGAAGGCCUUAGGGUUGUAAAGUCCUUUCAGUAGGGAAGAUAAUGACGGUACCUACAGAAGAAGCACCGGCUAACUUCGUGCCAGCAGCCGCGGUAAUACGAAGGGUGCUAGCGUUGUUCGGAAUCAUUGGGCGUACGCGUGCGUAGGCGGUUUACUAAGUUAGUUGUGAAAGCCCAAGGCUCAACCUUGGAACUGCAAUUAAAACUGGUAAACUAGAGUAUGAUAGGCGAUAGUGGAAUUCUUGGUGUAGGGGUGAAAUCCGUAGAUAUCAAGAGGAACACCGGAGGCGAAGGCGACUAUCUUGGUCAUAACUGACGCUAAGGCACGAAAGCGUGGGGAGCAAACAGGAUUAGAUACCCUUGUAGUC
RNAcentral lists this ribosomal RNA (438 nucleotides) under uncultured bacterium. RNAcentral describes it as "partial 16S ribosomal RNA". It matches the Rfam family "Bacterial small subunit ribosomal RNA", at positions 339 to 795 of the family's 1533-position model. The record is from RNAcentral.